CCUACGGAGGUGCAGCAGUGGGGAAUAUUGGACAAUGGGCGAAAGCCUGAUCCAGCCAUGCCGCGUGUGUGAAGAAGGCCUUCGGGUUGUAAAGCACUUUCAGUGGGGAAGAAAGCCUUGGGGCUAAUACCCUCGAGGAAGGACAUCACCCACAGAAGAAGCACCGGCUAACUCCGUGCCAGCAGCCGCGGUAAUACGGAGGGUGCGAGCGUUAAUCGGAAUUACUGGGCGUAAAGCGCGCGUAGGCGGUCUGAUAAGCCGGUUGUGAAAGCCCCGGGCUCAACCUGGGAACGGCAUCCGGAACUGUCAGGCUAGAGUGCAGGAGAGGAAGGUAGAAUUCCCGGUGUAGCGGUGAAAUGCGUAGAGAUCGGGAGGAAUACCAGUGGCGAAGGCGGCCUUCUGGACUGACACUGACGCUGAGGUGCGAAAGCGUGGGUAGCAAACAGGAUUAGAUACCCUUGUAGUC
Molecule: ribosomal RNA, 466 nt
Filed under: Vreelandella stevensii
Lineage: Bacteria; Pseudomonadati; Pseudomonadota; Gammaproteobacteria; Oceanospirillales; Halomonadaceae
Description: partial 16S ribosomal RNA
Rfam family: Bacterial small subunit ribosomal RNA
Source: RNAcentral